Vigna umbellata (rice bean) is the source of this 1769-nucleotide non-coding RNA. Lineage: Eukaryota; Viridiplantae; Streptophyta; Magnoliopsida; Fabales; Fabaceae. The record is from RefSeq and is a predicted model, not a curated record.
CAAGUAGUUAAUGUUAGCUUUCACAUUCCACGACAUUCAGUCUUGCUUUUUUCUUGUUUGGCAUUAGAUCCCAGGAAUUGUGAUCAUGAGGCGUCUGAAUUGGUUGCAGGCUGGACAAAGAAAAGCCGUACGUAGCACAAAGUGAAGAACCUCGGAAGAAUAGUUUUAAACGGAGAAAAGAGUUAAGUGUACGGAAGAAACGAAGCUAGGAAAGGGAUUUGUGUAAUUGAUUUGUAACAAUUUCUUUGGACACCGUUUCGUACUUUGUUACCUGGUAAAUCUGAUUCGUUCUUAUUCCGUCUCAUGGUCAAUUAAAUUAGCACCAUUCCAUUUCAUAGUUUGAUUGUAGAUUCAAAAUUCAAUGUCUGACACCGUCUUCUUACCCCAUGAAAUCCUUACGGAAAUCCUUCGCAGACUUCCGCCAAAGUCCCUUCUCAGAUUCACCACCGUCUGCAAGUCAUGGCGCUCUCUCAUCACCCACCCAUCCUUUAUCUCUCUCCACCACCGUCACUCCUCCUCCGUUCUCCUCCUUCAGUUCAGCAACCGCUUCAUCCUCCCCCACCGCCACCACCACCCCUCCACCACCCUCCGCCUCCCCUCCUUACUCCACCACGAUUAUUCCGUCGUUUCCUUCUGCAACGGCCUUGUUUGCGUCGCCUACGGUGAGCAUUGCCAAACUGUCAUCGUCUGCAACCCGUGUAUUCGACGAUUUGUCACCCUCCCCGCUCCCCUUCAGUACCCUUGCUACUACACUUCCAACGUUGCAUUAGGCUUUGAUUCCAGUAAAUGUGAUUACAAGGUGGUCAGGAUUUCUUGCAUGGUGGAUGAUGAAAGGUUCGGCCUUUCUGCUCCCGAGGUUGAGGUUUUCUCUCUUGCAACUGGGUGUUGGAGGACCCUUGAUCAUGGCAUUGCUCCUGUCUGCUACGUUGCUAGAGAUACUCCCCCUGGAUUUCACGAUGGGCUUGUUCACUGGGUUGCCAAACGCUACGUGGCUGGUGGAUGGUACAAUUUUGUUUUGUCCUUUCACUUUGAGGGUGAGAUGUUUCGUGAAGUUAUGCUGCCAGAGAGCUUGGCUCGUCGUACCUCUUGGGGUAUGAUUAAGGUUGUUGGGGGUGGCAAUGGGAAGACACUUACUGUGUACGAUGUGGAUGGGGGUUCUCCAUGCUCUUGUAACAUUUGGAUGAUGAAAGAAUAUGGUGAGGUGGAAUCUUGGAAGAAGGCCUUUUCUUUUCUUAUGAGCGGAUUUUGCUUGGAAGCACCGUCUUUGGGAAUGAUGCUCACUGACGUGGAAAUUCCACCGAUGGAAUUGUGUGUUACGUGCAGUGGAGAGGUGUUGCUGCUAGUGGAUGUGGCAGGAAGGAGAUGCCUGUAUUCGCUGGACAUAAAGAAGAAAAGUUUUACGGACCUUUACGGACUUCGAAUGAAAUAGGCGCAGGGUUUGUUUAUUGUGGUUAUUAUGCUGAGAGCUUACUUUUACUGAACAUAGCAAGUGGUGUAGUUUCUUAUUGAAGGGGUAACGACAUUCCAAUCUGAUACUUAUGCAGUCAGCUGAAUCAGACAGGGGAACGGUUCUUGUUGGAAGCAGCUUCUCCAAAUCGAUUUGAUAACCAUGCUAAUAGAAAUUUCAUCAGACAACCUUCAAAGCCGGAGCAUCCUUGAGUUUCGCAGUGCCUGUUGUGUACUUGUGUGAAUUCAGGUUGUUUUAUUUUUGAAUUCCAUUUAAAAAUUUAUGGUAAUGGCAAUAACUAUUAAUAUGAAAAGUUCUGAAA